GCAUAUUGUGCUCCAUCCGCCAUGGCGGCGCGGGAAUCGAUUAUUAGAUACCCUGGUAGUCCACGCCGUAAACGGUGGGUGCUAGUUGUGGGCCACAUUCCACGUGGUCCGUGACGAAGUUAACACAUUAAGCACCCCGCCUGGGGAGUACGGUCGCAAGACUAAAACUCAAAGGAAUUGACGGGGGCCCGCACAAGCGGCGGAGCAUGCGGAUUAAUUCGAUGCAACGCGAAGAACCUUACCAAGGCUUGACAUAUAGAGGAAACGUGCAGAAAUGUACGCCCCGCAAGGUCUCUAUACAGGUGGUGCAUGGUUGUCGUCAGCUCGUGUCGUGAGAUGUUGGGUUAAGUCCCGCAACGAGCGCAACCCUCGUCCUAUGUUGCCAGCACGUAAUGGUGGGAACUCAUGGGAGACUGCCGGGGUCAACUCGGAGGAAGGUGGGGAUGACGUCAAAUCAUCAUGCCCCUUAUGUCUUGGGCUUCA
RNAcentral lists this ribosomal RNA (483 nucleotides) under uncultured Actinomycetes bacterium. Its description in RNAcentral is "bacterial SSU rRNA". It matches the Rfam family "Bacterial small subunit ribosomal RNA", at positions 724 to 1218 of the family's 1533-position model. The record is from RNAcentral. Lineage: Bacteria; Bacillati; Actinomycetota; Actinomycetes.